RNAcentral lists this transfer RNA (73 nucleotides) under Stegodyphus dumicola. RNAcentral's name for it is "tRNA-Ala". It matches the Rfam family "tRNA". From Rfam's summary of the family: Transfer RNA (tRNA) molecules are approximately 80 nucleotides in length. Their secondary structure includes four short double-helical elements and three loops (D, anti-codon, and T loops). The record is from RNAcentral. Lineage: Eukaryota; Metazoa; Arthropoda; Arachnida; Araneae; Eresidae.
GUCUUCGUGGUGUAGUGGUCAGCACGCUCGACGCGCAUUCGAGAGGUUCGUGGUUCGAGCCCCGGCGAGGGCA